UGGGGAAUUUUGGACAAUGGGCGAAAGCCUGAUCCAGCAAUGCCGCGUGUGUGAAGAAGGCCUUCGGGUUGUAAAGCACUUUUGUCCGGAAAGAAAUCCUUGGCUCUAAUACAGUCGGGGGAUGACGGUACCGGAAGAAUAAGCACCGGCUAACUACGUGCCAGCAGCCGCGGUAAUACGUAGGGUGCAAGCGUUAAUCGGAAUUACUGGGCGUAAAGCGUGCGCAGGCGGUUUGCUAAGACCGAUGUGAAAUCCCCGGGCUCAACCUGGGGAACUGCAUUGGUGACUGGCAGGCUAGAGUAUGGCAGAGGGGGGUAGAAUUCCACGUGUAGCAGUGAAAUGCGUAGAGAUGUGGAGGAAUACCGAUGGCGAAGGCAGCCCCCUGGGCCAAUACUGACGCUCAUGCACGAAAGCGUGGGGAGCAAAACAGGAUUAGAUACCCUGGUAGUCCACGCCCUAAACGAUGUCAACUAGUUGUUGGGGAUUCAUUUCCUUAGUAACGUAGCUAACGCGUGAAGUUGACCGCCUGGGGAGUACGGUCG
RNAcentral lists this ribosomal RNA (542 nucleotides) under uncultured bacterium. RNAcentral's name for it is "partial 16S ribosomal RNA". It matches the Rfam family "Bacterial small subunit ribosomal RNA", at positions 355 to 888 of the family's 1533-position model. The record is from RNAcentral.